AACGAACGCUGGCGGCGUGGAUAAGACAUGCAAGUCGAACGGGAACUUCAGCUGUAGCAAUACAGUUGAAGUUUUAGUGGCGAACGGGUGCGUAACACGUGGGCAAUCUGCCGAGAAGUGGGUGAUAGCUCGCCGAAAGGCGAAUUAAUACCGCAUAUGAUCAGCUAAGACAUCUUAGCGACAUCAAAGCCGGGGCAACCUGGCGCUUUUUGAGGAGCCCGCGGCCUAUCAGCUAGUUGGUGAGGUAACGGCUCACCAAGGCUAUGACGGGUAGCUGGUCUGAGAGGACGACCAGUCACACUGGAACUGAGACACGGUCCAGACACCUACGGGUGGCAGCAGUCGAGAAUUUUUCUCAAUGGGGCAACCCUGAAGGAGCGACGCCGCGUGGAGGAUGAAGGCUUUCGGGUUGUAAACUCCUGUC
Molecule: ribosomal RNA, 424 nt
Filed under: uncultured bacterium
Lineage: Bacteria
Description: bacterial SSU rRNA
Rfam family: Bacterial small subunit ribosomal RNA
Source: RNAcentral